AGGGUUUGAUCAUGGCUCAGAACGUACGCUGGCGGCACGCCUAACACAUGCAAGUCGAACGAAGUAGCAAUACUUAGUGGCAGACGGGUGAGUAACAUGUAGGUAUCUGCCCUUUGGCCUGGAAUAACACGAGGAAACUUGUGCUAAUACUGGAUAAGUCUUUACGGAGAAAGCUUUAUGCACCAUUGGAUGAGCCUGCACUUGAUUAGUUUGUUGGUGGGGUAAUGGCCUACCAAGACUGUGAUCAAUAGCUGAUUUGAGAGGAUGAUCAGCCACAUUGGGACUGAGACACGGCCCAAACUCCUACGGGAGGCAGCAGUGGGGAAUCUUGCACAAUGGAGGAAACUCUGAUGCAGCGAUGCCGCGUGAGUGAAGAAGGCCCUUGGGUUGUAAAGCUCUUUCGUCGGGGAAGAAAAUGACUGUACCCGAAUAAGAAGGUCCGGCUAACUUCGUGCCAGCAGCCGCGGUAAUACGAAGGGACCUAGCGUAGUUCGGAAUUACUGGGCUUAAAGAGUUCGUAGGUGGUUGAAAAAGUUGGUGGUGAAAUCCCAGAGCUUAACUCUGGAACUGCCAUCAAAACUUUUCAGCUAGAGUAUGAUAGAGGAAAGCAGAAUUUCUAGUGUAGAGGUGAAAUUCGUAGAUAUUAGAAAGAAUACCAAUUGCGAAGGCAGCUUUCUGGAUCAUUACUGACACUGAGGAACGAAAGCAUGGGUAGCGAAGAGGAUUAGAUACCCUCGUAGUCCAUGCCGUAAACGAUGUGUGUUAGACGUUGGAAAUUUAUUUUCAGUGUCGCAGCGAAAGCGAUAAACACACCGCCUGGGGAGUACGACCGCAAGGUUAAAACUCAAAUGAAUUGACGGGGACCCGCACAAGUAGUGGAGCAUGUGGUUUAAUUCGAAGAUACGCGCAGAACCUUACCAACACUUGACAUGUUCGUCGCGACUUUAAGAGAUUAAAGUUUUCGGUUCGGCCGGACGAAACACAGGUGCUGCAUGGCUGUCGUCAGCUCGUGUCGUGAGAUGUUGGGUUAAGUCCCGCAACGAGCGCAACCCUCACUUUUAGUUGCCAUCAUUAAGUUGGGCACUCUGAAAGAACUGCCAGUGAUAAGCUGGAGGAAGGUGGGGAUGACGUCAAGUCCUCAUGGCCCUUACGUGUUGGGCUACACACGUGCUACAAUGGUAUCUACAACAGGAAGCAAGACUGCGAAGUUAAGCAAAUCCUCAAAAGAUACCUCAGUUCGGAUUGCACUCUGCAACUCGAGUGCAUGAAGCUGGAAUUACUAGUAAUCGUGGAUCAGCGUGCCACGGUGAAUGCGUUCCCGGGUCUUGUACACACCGCCCGUCACACCAUGGGAGUUGGUUCUACCUUAAGGCAAGGUUUAAAACCCUUGACCACGGUAUAGUCAGCGACUGGGGUGAAGUCAUAACAAGGUA
This 1433-nucleotide ribosomal RNA is filed under the name uncultured bacterium. Its description in RNAcentral is "bacterial SSU rRNA". It matches the Rfam family "Bacterial small subunit ribosomal RNA". The record is from RNAcentral.